Molecule: unclassified non-coding RNA, 959 nt
Filed under: Hevea brasiliensis (rubber tree)
Lineage: Eukaryota; Viridiplantae; Streptophyta; Magnoliopsida; Malpighiales; Euphorbiaceae
Source: RNAcentral
GGAGGUGGAGGUGGAGGUGGAGGUGGUGUUACCUCUUCAUCCUUCUUGUUGUGUCCCGGCAGUUUCUCUUUUAUUUUCUCAAGGAAACCCUUUUUUUCCUCUGCUUGGUGUGCUGCUUCUGCUUCCUCGUAUUUCUCAAUAGGGACUGUGGUAUCCUCUUCCUUCUUUUCUUCUUUGUCGCCCGAUAUCUUCUCCUUGAUCUUCUCUUUCAAUCCCUUCUUUUCCUUCUUUUUCUUCUUCUUCUCCUCUCCCUCGCCUUCUUCCUCAUCACUAGAACUAGAACUGCUAUCUGAUCGAUGAAGCUUUUCCAACAGACCAUGCUUCUUCUCCUCCUCUUUGUGCUCAGGUUCAGAUACGUGAACCUUCUCUUCAAACUCUGUGACGAUCACCUCCUCUUGAGGCUUCUUUUCUUCUUUCUUCCCCAAGAAACCAAACAACCCACGAUCCUUGGUCUCCACAGCUGAUCCCUCAUCAACAACAACUGGGGUCUCAGACUCAUGGCUCUUGCUGUGCUCCUCAGCCAUGCUGUUCUAGAUCACCGUAAGCUUACAAACAAAUGAGUAAGAAGCUGGUUUUAACAAAAGUAAGGAAUGAGCUGGAUAUCUACAACCUCGUUAAAAUAAAAUGCGUUUGCGUUUUGUAACUGAUGGUUUGUGCUCUGUGAGAGUGAUGAAUUUAUAGGCUGUCACAGAACGCGGUUCUGACGCGAAAUAAACGAAUAAAAGCUGAUUAGGCUACCCAAUCAAAGUCUCCUCUGGUUCUGUAGCCGACGUUUGCGUAAAAACAAAGGGGAAUUCACAAAUCUAACUGACCAACGCGCAUUAAAUUAGAGUGUGCUCGCUUUUCAAAUUGCCCAUCUGUCACACCGCCCAGCUGUCAUAGCAGAGGAGCGGUUAUUCCCUAGUUUAAUACUCGAGCGCGGGAAAUCAACAGUCAAAAGAAAAAGAGAAAAAGAUCAC